This 596-nucleotide long non-coding RNA is filed under the name Solanum melongena (eggplant). RNAcentral describes it as "long non-coding RNA (SMEL_LNC000093)". The record is from RNAcentral. Lineage: Eukaryota; Viridiplantae; Streptophyta; Magnoliopsida; Solanales; Solanaceae.
UGGAUUUCAAUUGGAUACCCUUUUUCUCUGUUCCAGGUACAAGUCAAGUUGAAUUUACAAAAAAAAAUUCAGUGUUAGAAGUAUUCAAAUCCAUAAAUUCACUACGAAACAAGGCCGGAACCAAUUUGAGACUUUGGAAAACUUCAAAUAGUAAACUGAAACUAUCAAUCAUAUUAAUAUUACAUCUAUCUCCACAUAGAAGUGUUGGAAAAGAAAGCUAUCUGAGAGGCAGAGGUUGACUAUAAACUUCAUCUCUCUCUGGACCUCAGGGAGUUUUUCCAGAGCUGAAUUGCGCGUGCACUUCUGCCAGAGCAGAAUCACGUGUGUACUUGGUGUAUAACCUCAGCAGUAUCUUCCAUCAGAACCCAAAAUCGGCAACGAAUAUGUCCUUUAGACUUUGCUAGAAAUGGCCGAACACUAAAAAAUCGGUGGAAAACCAGCUUAAGCUGGUUGUACUUUGAAGUUCGUUCAAUUCACACAGGCAGGGUGAUUGAGGUGCGUGCUUCAACAUCUAAGUUUCACACAAGGAACCUCCUGCUCUUAAGGAUAAACUACGAUAUUUGAUGGACUGGCAGGUCAGCCACGUAAUUUAUCCC